ACAAUGAAUAUAUAAAAACUGACAAGCUGUGUGUAUAUAUAUAUAUAUUAAGUAUUUUUAUAACACGUACAAUGUAUGUGCCAUUUAAACAUGGAGGCAUUCGCUGAAUAAAUUGUAUCUAGCUAAUAUGCAUCUCAUUAAAAGUACCAGUCUACCAGUUCAAAUAUAUCGUUUCUGUGAUAAACUCCGGUUUGUGACUCGAUAUUCAACAGCAGCAGCAACUUCAAAUUCAACAAUUCAUAAAGAAGACAUUUCAAACGUUUCAUUUAAUUAGCUGUUCUAUUAUGUGCAUUCCCCUAUCACACUGAAAACAUAGACAACAGCAAAAGUAGGCGAGACACUGGGUUCCGCGGAACCCUUACGAAUUUUUGUUUUAAAGUCUGGAAUAAAUUUGAACACGAUAAUGACUUUACUAUCGCUAUUUAAAAAAAAAAAAAAAAAAAAAAAAAAAAAAAAACAA
This is a long non-coding RNA of Mytilus californianus (California mussel), 460 nucleotides long. RefSeq lists it as uncharacterized. NCBI's taxonomy places the organism in Eukaryota, Metazoa, Mollusca, Bivalvia, Mytilida, Mytilidae. The record is from RefSeq and is a predicted model, not a curated record. The transcript is spliced from 2 exons.